Molecule: ribosomal RNA, 497 nt
Filed under: uncultured bacterium
Lineage: Bacteria
Description: partial 16S ribosomal RNA
Rfam family: Bacterial small subunit ribosomal RNA
Source: RNAcentral
GAUGAACGCUGGCGGCGUGCCUAAUACAUGCCAGUCGAGCGGACAGACGAGGAGCUUGCUCCUCUGACGUUAGCGGCGGACGGGUGAGUAACACGUGGAUAACCUACCUAUAAGACUGGGAUAACUUCGGGAAACCGGAGCUAAUACCGGAUAAUAUAUUGAACCGCAUGGUUCAAUAGUGGAAGACGGUUUUGCUGUCACUUAUAGAUGGAUCAGCGCCGCAUUAGCUAGUUGGUAAGGUAACGGCUUACCAAGGCAACGAUGCGUAGCCGACCUGAGAGGGUGAUCGGCCACACGGUAACUGAGACACGGUCCAGACUCCUACGGGAGGCAGCAGCAGGGAAUCUUCCGCAAUGGGCGAAAGCCUGACGUAGCAACGCCGCGUGAGUGAUGAAGGUCUUCGGAUCGUAAAACUCUGUUAUUAGGGAAGAACAAAUGUGUAAGUAACUAUGCACGUCUUGACGGUACCUAAUCAGAAAGCCACGGCUAACUACGUG